UCUCCCGCUCGCCCAUUUUCCUCCUUCUGUCUCCUGGAGGGGAAACUUGUUGGUGGUCAGUCCUCUGCCACGUCAAGCCUCCAGCAAGGUGGACGCAGUGGAGUGCCUUUUUUUUUUAUUUAGGAAGGCAAACAAUGGGGAAAGUUUUCCAUUCCAGGCUUAACCAUUUCCUAUUCAUGUCGAUGUGGAAGAUGAGGAGCCAAGAAAAAAAAAAUGGGACCUAAAGAUGUGAAGAAGAGAUGCUACAGAUGUCUGGAAUGCGCCGCACAGCGGGAUGCUGGGGAGGGAACGUCGUGAAAUCUGCCAAUCAGUGGCUAUCACCUCCGUCUCACCUCUCCUCCUCCUUCUCCUCCCCCCCUCUUCGAAAUGUACCCCUCAUGGACUCGGGUGAGCAAAAGCAUGCGCUCCACUUUUUUUUCUCCCAGGAAAAGUCUUCCAAAUAAAAACAAUCCAGCAUCCUUCAAGCCCGGCCCGCCCGCCCAGUGUUCAGACUACCUGUUCAGGAAGUAGUGGUUGUACAGUAGUCUGCACAUUGGUUAGGCUGGCCCGGGGAAGCACGAGACCAGAAUCAACACUUGGGAAGCAUCCCCAGCCCGACUUCAGAAGCGAGAGAAUCAAUUUGAGUUGUUCUGACUAGACCACAAGAUCCUUAAAGAAACUGACCCAGAUAUGGUACUGUUGAUGUCACCUGAGCACUAUGUUUAACUUGUAAAAAAAAAAAAAAAAAACCUGAAAUAAAGAUCCUUCCCAUUCGUAA
Long non-coding RNA from Syngnathus acus (greater pipefish), 757 nucleotides. RefSeq lists it as uncharacterized. NCBI's taxonomy places the organism in Eukaryota, Metazoa, Chordata, Actinopteri, Syngnathiformes, Syngnathidae. The transcript has 2 exons. The record is from RefSeq and is a predicted model, not a curated record.